AGAGUUUGAUCAUGGCUCAGAAGUGAACGUUGGCGGCGUGGAUUAGGCAUGCAAGUCGUACGCAUAGGCUUCGGCUAUGAGUGGCGCAAGGGUGAGUAAUGCGAAGGUAACCAACCCUGGGUGUUGGGCAUUAGCCGCGGGAAACUGCGGGUAAUUCCCAGCGACGUCACGAGAUGGCAUCAUCUUGUGACCAAAGGUGUGAUUCCGCUCUAGGACGGGCCUUCGUGGUAUUAGGUAGUUGGUGAGGUAACGGCUCACCAAGCCGACGAUGCCUACCGGGUGUGAGUGCAUGACCCGGCACACUGGAACUGAGACACUGUCCAGACACCUACGGGUGGCUGCAGUCGAGAAUCUUCGGGCAAUGGGCGAAAGCCUGACCGAGCGACGCCGCGUGAGGGAUUGAAGGCCUUCGGGUUGUAAACCUCUUUCGUAGAGGAGGAAGGGGCCGUGAAGAACGGUCUUUGACCUAUUCUAGGAAGAAGCUUGGGCUAAGUUCGUG
This 499-nucleotide ribosomal RNA is filed under the name uncultured bacterium. RNAcentral's name for it is "bacterial SSU rRNA". It matches the Rfam family "Bacterial small subunit ribosomal RNA", at positions 8 to 507 of the family's 1533-position model. The record is from RNAcentral.